AACGAACGCUGGCGGCAUGCCUAACACAUGCAAGUCGAACGAGACCUUCGGGUCUAGUGGCGCACGGGUGCGUAACGCGUGGGAACCUGCCCUUAGGUUCGGAAUACCUCCCCGAAAGGGGUGCUAAUACCGGAUAAUUUCUUCGGACCAAAGAUUUAUCGCCUUUGGAUGGGCCCGCGUUGGAUUAGCUAGUUGGUAGGGUAAAAGCCUACCAAGGCGACGAUCCAUAGCUGGUCUGAGAGGAUGAGCAGCCACACUGGGACUGAGACACGGCCCAGACUCCUACGGGAGGCAGCAGUGGGGAAUAUUGGACAAUGGGCGAAAGCCUGAUCCAGCAAUGCCGCGUGAGUGAUGAAGGCCUUAGGGUUGUAAAGCUCUUUUACCCGGGAUGAUAAUGACAGUACCGGGAGAAUAAGCGCCGGCUAACUCCGUG
RNAcentral lists this ribosomal RNA (433 nucleotides) under uncultured bacterium. Its description in RNAcentral is "partial 16S ribosomal RNA". It matches the Rfam family "Bacterial small subunit ribosomal RNA", at positions 29 to 507 of the family's 1533-position model. The record is from RNAcentral.